GUGAGGGCUCACAGGGCCCUGUGGACUUAGAGAUGGGGAGGAUAGAGGUGGGAGGAUGCCUGGGAGAUGCAGGGUUAAAGAGACCCGCUGAGGACUCACAGGGAGGAGGCCACAGAUUGUGGAGGCAAAAAGCCAGCGCGGAUCUGAUCAAGAACCAAGCCUCCAGAACUUCAUUUGCAAUUCGGCUGCUCCUUUGGCAAAAGGUCCCCUGUGCAGCUGUUCCACCCAGAGAGCCUCUGCCAGUCAGGCCCUCGACUCCCCUAGCAAGAGACCCUGAUGUUGACAGCUAUAAAUCCUUCUCUCAAGAGUGGCUGCCCUGCUUCAUGAGUGGCCAACAAGAAGCCUCUCAUCUCAGCAUCUGCUGGCCCCACAGUUUAGAGGGACUCUCUUGGCUUCUCUGUCUGGAACUCUCGGACCUGGGGCCACACACCUCUGCAGGCUGGCUCACCUCAAGAGAUCAUCAUUGCAGUUUGGCUGCCUCUGCUGCUGUGUGAUCGUCCUAAUAACACUGCACAAGUGAAGAUACCCAGUCUAGAAGUCCAUUGUGAUAUCUUCCAAGGACUUGCAGAAACAUUAUGUUGAGUUUUCCCUUCCUUUGUGGACACUGUCUCCUGAGAGAUGGACAAAGAGCCUCUCUCCAGGACUUCCUACCCUCAGUGGCCCUUGGCUUCCACUCAGC
Bos taurus (domestic cattle) is the source of this 679-nucleotide long non-coding RNA. The record is from Ensembl. Lineage: Eukaryota; Metazoa; Chordata; Mammalia; Artiodactyla; Bovidae.